Long non-coding RNA from Acanthopagrus latus (yellowfin seabream), 681 nucleotides. RefSeq lists it as uncharacterized. The transcript has 3 exons. Lineage: Eukaryota; Metazoa; Chordata; Actinopteri; Spariformes; Sparidae. The record is from RefSeq and is a predicted model, not a curated record.
AGCUAAGCUACCACCGAGCUAGCGGCUGUGUAUCCAGGACUCCAGCAGGGUUGGGCUCACAUUCAGCUGUCACGCCACUGGAAGCCAUCAGUCCCUACAGCUGGCGAGAGGAAAUCAGACAGCGCACUAUCAAGAAUGGACAUGGACAUGGACAUCAACAGACAUCAAGUGCUGGCAGGACAAAUCUCGAAGAGCCAUACGAAAGCAAAGCUGUAGGAAGAUUUUGACUAUGUCCUCGCUACAAUCUGGUGAGGGGCAGCGCAUCUCCUGCAGGUUCGACACACACUGUAAUGUAUACAAUACCACACCACCAUGCCUAAGUUGUCAGCCACAGGGUUCUGUACUUGUACUAUGUGUCAUUAUUUUUCAGCGGUACUUUUUUCACUCACACCGUCGCCACUACUGUCGCAUGUGCACUGAAAGCUGAAAUGUGUUAAUCUAACAAUUAUAGGCUUUUACUUUAAAAGUGGAAUUGUCAAAUCAGACCUGUUACAGUACACUGGUUACACAUGUACGUAUGGUACAUGUGUUUUGGAGGCUGACUUUGCUUUUUAGUUUUUUCCCUCUACAGGUUUUGCUGUGGAGUAUCUGUUCAGGGCCAAGUUGAGUGUGACCACAAGACUGAUGGGUCUUGUGAUGUGUGCUACGUUUGUUUCUGUGAUGAACAAACAUCUAACACUC